CCUGUCCUACGGGACGCAGCAGUGAGGAAUAUUGGUCAAUGGACGCAAGUCUGAACCAUCCCAGUAGCGUACAGGAUGACGGCCCUCCGGGUUGUAACCUGCUUUUAGUUGGGAAUAAAAGGGGGCUCGUGAGCCCCGUAUUGUAUGUACCAUCAGAAAAAGAACCGGCUAAUUCCGUGCCAACAGCCGCGGUAAUACGGAAGGUCCGGGCGUUAUCCGGAUUUAUUGGGUUUAAAGGGAGCGUAGGCCGGCUUUUAAGUAAGCUGUGAAAGUCCGCGG
This 279-nucleotide ribosomal RNA is filed under the name uncultured bacterium. RNAcentral's name for it is "partial 16S ribosomal RNA". It matches the Rfam family "Bacterial small subunit ribosomal RNA", at positions 333 to 607 of the family's 1533-position model. The record is from RNAcentral.